GCAGUAGCUCAGUGGUAGAGUAUUUGCCUUCCAUGCAUAAAAUCACAGGUUCAAUCCCCAGCAUCUCCA
This is a non-coding RNA of Podarcis lilfordi (Lilford's wall lizard), 69 nucleotides long. Lineage: Eukaryota; Metazoa; Chordata; Lepidosauria; Squamata; Lacertidae. The record is from the annotation of a GenBank genome assembly.